GAAAUGCGAUAAGUAAUGUGAAUUGCAGAAUUCCGUGAAUCAUCGAAUCUUUGAACGCACAUUGCGCCCCCUGGCAUCCCGGGGGGCAUGCCUGUCCGAGCGUCAUUGCAGACCUCAAGCGCGGCUUGUGUGAUGGGGGCCGCCGCACCGCGAGGGCGCGGCGCCCCCGAAACGCAGCGGCGGCGUCGCGACACCGCGGCCCGAGUGAAUGGGACCUCCACCGCUCGCGGCCCGGCCGACGCCCGCCUCAACGUCAUCCACGGUUGACCUCGGAUCAGGUAGGGAUACCCGCUGAACUUAA
Molecule: unclassified non-coding RNA, 301 nt
Filed under: uncultured Ascomycota
Lineage: Eukaryota; Fungi; Ascomycota
Description: sequence contains ITS1
Rfam family: 5.8S ribosomal RNA (bases 1-105)
Source: RNAcentral